CGGGUGCGUAACGCGUAUCGAACCUGCCGCAUACCCGGGGAUAGCCUUGCGAAAGCAAGAUUAAUACCCGAUGUUCUCACUGUUCCGCAUGUUACGGUGAGCAAAGAAUUUCGGUAUGCGAUGGCGAUGCGUCCCAUUAGCUAGUUGGCGGGGUAACGGCCCACCAAGGCUCCGAUGGGUAGGGGUUCUGAGAGGAAGGUCCCCCACACUGGUACUGAGACACGAUCCACAAUUAAACGGGAGGAAGCAGUGAGGAAUAUUGGUCAAUGGACGCAAGUCUGAACCAGCCAAGUAGCGUGCACGAUGACGGCCCUCCGGGAUGAAAACUGCUUUUACUUGGGAAUAAAACGGGGCUCGUGAGCCCCGUAUUGUAUGUACCAUCAUAAAAAGGAUCGGCUAAUUCCGUGCCAGCAGCCGCGGUAAUACGGAAGGUACGGGCGUUAUCCGGAUUUAUUGGGUUUAAAGGGAGCGUAGGCCGGCUUUUAAGUCCGCUGUGAAAGUCCGCGGCUCAACCGUGGAAUUGCAGUUGAAACUGGAGGCCUUGAGUGCACACAGGGAUGCCGGAAUUCACGGCGUAGCGGUGAAAUGCUUAGAUAUCAUGAAGAACUCCGAUCGCGAAUGCAAGUGUCCGGGGUGCAACUGA
Molecule: ribosomal RNA, 643 nt
Filed under: uncultured bacterium
Lineage: Bacteria
Description: bacterial SSU rRNA
Rfam family: Bacterial small subunit ribosomal RNA
Source: RNAcentral